GGUUCCAUGGUUGUAGUGGUCAGCACUCUGGACUUUGAAUCCAGUAAUCCGAGUUCAAGUCUCUGUGGAACCU
Gasterosteus aculeatus (three-spined stickleback) is the source of this 73-nucleotide non-coding RNA. Lineage: Eukaryota; Metazoa; Chordata; Actinopteri; Perciformes; Gasterosteidae. The record is from Rfam.